GGGGAUUUGGCUUAGCUGCUUAAGCACUUGCCUGGUAAGCGUGAGUUUGUGAGUAAAAUCCCCA
RNAcentral lists this transfer RNA (64 nucleotides) under Cavia porcellus (domestic guinea pig). It matches the Rfam family "tRNA". From Rfam's summary of the family: Transfer RNA (tRNA) molecules are approximately 80 nucleotides in length. Their secondary structure includes four short double-helical elements and three loops (D, anti-codon, and T loops). Further hydrogen bonds mediate the characteristic L-shaped molecular structure. tRNAs have two regions of fundamental functional importance: the anti-codon, which is responsible for specific mRNA codon recognition, and the 3' end, to which the tRNAs corresponding amino acid is attached (by aminoacyl-tRNA synthetases). tRNAs cope with the degeneracy of the genetic code in two manners: having more than one tRNA (with a specific anti-codon) for a particular amino acid; and 'wobble' base-pairing, i.e. permitting non-standard base-pairing at the 3rd anti-codon position. The record is from Rfam by way of RNAcentral. Lineage: Eukaryota; Metazoa; Chordata; Mammalia; Rodentia; Caviidae.